RNAcentral lists this ribosomal RNA (38 nucleotides) under Beauveria bassiana. RNAcentral describes it as "partial small subunit ribosomal RNA". Lineage: Eukaryota; Fungi; Ascomycota; Sordariomycetes; Hypocreales; Cordycipitaceae. The record is from RNAcentral.
GGCACCACCAGGGGAUCCUGCGGCUUAAUUUGACUCNA